This is an RNA transcript of Sinocyclocheilus rhinocerous, 1036 nucleotides long. It is a transcript of the gene named interferon alpha-inducible protein 27-like protein 2A, with no coding region annotated. The record is from RefSeq and is a predicted model, not a curated record. The transcript has 6 exons. NCBI's taxonomy places the organism in Eukaryota, Metazoa, Chordata, Actinopteri, Cypriniformes, Cyprinidae.
UUUUUUUUUUACGUAGGCUGUUCUCGCUGACUCGCUCUGUAGUUUAAUGUAAACUGAACAUGUCAAGGGGUCAAAUCAUUGGGAUUACAGCUGGGGCUGCUGUCCAGUAGGUGUCGGAAAUGCACCUUUUAAGUGGGUUUGCCAACCGCCGUUAAAAAGAAAAGAAGAAGAAGAAGAAGAAGGAAGUAGGCUGUUCUCGCUGACUCGCUCUGUAGUUUAAUGUAAACUGAACAUGUCAAGGGGUCAAAUCAUUGGGAUUACAGCUGGGGCUGCUGUUUAUUUUCCUGUUGAUUAGCUGGUGCAGUACUUUUGGCCCCCGUUGCGCUCAGCAUGGCUGGGUUCACCGCCGCCGGUAUCACCGCAGGUUCUAUGGCCGCUGGCAUGAUGUCUUCAGCAGCCAUCACCAGUGGUGGGGGUGUGGCUACGGGAAGUUUGGUCGCUCUCCUCCAAUCUGCAGGUGCUGCUGGUAUGUCUGCAACAGCAACAGCUGGUGUGGCAUCUGUGGGCGGUGCUGCAGGAGCUCUAGUAAGUGGAGCAGUUGGUUUCUUGAAGAGGAUGAGGAAAUGAGACAUGUACUGGAGUCCAAAGAGCUUCUGUUCACAGCCGGCUACCAUGAAAGGAGUUUAGUAGCAGCCACUGUGUGUUUAAAGUAAUUGUCUGUAGCUUGAUUGUAAACAAUUUAUAACAUUUUGAAAAUAAGAAUGUAAGCACCCAAAACUUUAGAAAUAUCGAAAAAUCUGUGAAUUUUUUUCAUUUGGCACUUUGUAACUAAAAUUAUGCGGGGAUUCUACGCUAGAAGUCACACUAAAAAAAUUUUUUUGUUUUUUUUAUGUGGUCAAAAAAAUGUGGUCUGUUUAAAUGUAUCUUCUUAAAGCACUUUUACAUUGUGUUUACAUCCUGUGCAGAAUUAUUCAUACUCACUGUUUUUCAUAGAUUGCGAAAAUGUAACUACUUUAAAACGAAUCCAUGUAGUAAAUUCAUGUUGCUAAUAAUGUGACUUUUGAAAUUUGAAUUCUGUCGCCAGAAUAAAAUAAUU